GGCAUGGCUCAAGUGAUAGAGCACCUGUCUAGCAAGCACGAGGCCCUGAGUUCAAAACUCAGUAAUGCCA
This 70-nucleotide transfer RNA is filed under the name Dipodomys ordii (Ord's kangaroo rat). It matches the Rfam family "tRNA". From Rfam's summary of the family: Transfer RNA (tRNA) molecules are approximately 80 nucleotides in length. Their secondary structure includes four short double-helical elements and three loops (D, anti-codon, and T loops). Lineage: Eukaryota; Metazoa; Chordata; Mammalia; Rodentia; Heteromyidae. The record is from Rfam by way of RNAcentral.